ACUGCUCAGUAACACGUGGAUAACCUGCCCUUGGGUCCGGCAUAACCCCGGGAAACUGGGGAUAAUUCCGGAUAACGCACAUAUGCUGGAAUGCUUUAUGCGUAAAAUGGAUUCGUCUGCCCAAGGAUGGGUCUGCGGCCUAUCAGGUAGUAGUGGGUGUAAUGUACCUACUAGCCAACAACGGGUACGGGUUGUGAGAGCAAGAGCCCGGAGAUGGAUUCUGAGACAUGAAUCCAGGCCCUACGGGGCGCAGCAGGCGCGAAAACUUUACAAUGCGGGAAACCGUGAUAAGGGGACACCGAGUGCCAGCAUCAUAUGCUGGCUGUCCAGGUGUGUAAACUACACCUGUUAGCAAGGGCCGGGCAAGACCGGUGCCAGCCACCGCGGUAACACCGGCGGCCCGAGUGGUGAUCGUGAUUAUUGGGUCUAAAGGGUCCGUAGCCGGUUUGGUCAGUCCUCCGGGAAAUCUGAUAGCUCAACUAUUAGGCUUUCGGGGGAUACUGCCAGGCUUGGAACCGGGAGAGGUAAGAGGUACUACAGGGGUAGGAGUGAAAUCUUGUAAUCCCUGUGGGACCACCUGUGGCGAAGGCGUCUUACCAGAACGGGUUCGGCGGUGAGGGACGAAAGCUGGGGGCACGAACCGGAUUAGAUACCCGGGUAGUCCCAGCCGUAAACGAUGCUCGCUAGGUGUCAGGCAUGGCGCGACCGUGUCUGGUGCCGCAGGGAAGCCGUGAAGCGAGCCACCUGGGAAGUACGGCCGCAAGGCUGAAACUUAAAGGAAUUGGCGGGGGAGCAC
This 796-nucleotide ribosomal RNA is filed under the name uncultured Methanosarcinaceae archaeon. RNAcentral describes it as "bacterial SSU rRNA". It matches the Rfam family "Archaeal small subunit ribosomal RNA", at positions 85 to 879 of the family's 1478-position model. The record is from RNAcentral. Lineage: Archaea; Methanobacteriati; Methanobacteriota; Methanomicrobia; Methanosarcinales; Methanosarcinaceae.